AUCAUGCAGAUGUACUACUACUGCAAGAGUUCACAUUGCUGCACUGCACACAUUUAACAUACAUGUAGUGUUACAUAUGUAAUACUGAUUUCAGACAAGAUUUUAAAAAUUAACAUAAUAAAAUACAUGUUAUGUGUGUAAUUUUCAAUAUAUCAGCAUUUUAAAGUUCACUAAACAUGCAUUGAGACACACAAUUUUAAAAUUGACAUUGUCUGACACAGUAUAAUUAAUGAUUAAUACUGACUGUGCAAAUAUUAAUUAUGAUGAUUUUUUUUCUAAGCACCAUCCUAAGGACCAGUGCAAGUUGAAAUGGGCUUCCAGCCAACAACUUCAACAGCAAUUUGCCAUGAAAAUCAGCAAGAAAGGUACUUCAUUUACAUUGAUGAUGUCAUAUCCCCUGGACCCCACAACUUUACAGGUUACAGAGAAAAUUCAAGAACUUCUGCACAAUGUGGGACUCGGAUAGAAUCAAUAAUGUAUUUGUGAGCCCAGAUAUAUUGUGCAA
Ostrea edulis (European flat oyster) is the source of this 505-nucleotide long non-coding RNA. RefSeq lists it as uncharacterized. The record is from RefSeq and is a predicted model, not a curated record. The transcript has 2 exons. Lineage: Eukaryota; Metazoa; Mollusca; Bivalvia; Ostreida; Ostreidae.